AACUUUCAGUAAUGGAUCACUUGGCUCUCGCAUCGAUGAAGAACGCAGCGAAAUGCGAUAAGUAAUGUGAAUUGCAGAAUUCAGUGAACCAUCGAAUCUUUGAACGCACCUUGCACCCUUUGGAAUUCCGAAGGGUAUGCUCGUUUGAGUGUCAUUGUACUCUCACACUUCUGAUCUUUUGGAUUGGGAGAGGUGGACUUGGGUGUUGCUGCUUCACUGUGGCUCACCUCAAAUGCAUUAGUGCACCUCUUGAUGAAACCAUAGUUCGGCGUGAUAAGCAUCUUCGCCGGCACCUCUUACCAGGAUGGCUAAUCAGGGGCUCUGUGCUUCCAACUGUCUUUGGACAACUCUGACAACUUGACCUCAAAUCGAGUAGGACUACCCGCUGAACUUAAGCAUAUCAAUAAGCGGAGGCU
This 416-nucleotide unclassified non-coding RNA is filed under the name uncultured Sebacinaceae. RNAcentral's name for it is "sequence contains ITS2". The stretch from base 1 to 154 matches the Rfam family "5.8S ribosomal RNA". The record is from RNAcentral. Lineage: Eukaryota; Fungi; Basidiomycota; Agaricomycetes; Sebacinales; Sebacinaceae.